Molecule: ribosomal RNA, 403 nt
Filed under: uncultured bacterium
Lineage: Bacteria
Description: bacterial SSU rRNA
Rfam family: Bacterial small subunit ribosomal RNA
Source: RNAcentral
AACGCGAAGAACCUUACCAGCCUUUGACAUGUCCUGGACGGUUACNAGAGAUGGUUUCCUCUCUUNGGAGCCAGGAUGCAGGUGCUGCAUGGCUGUCGUCAGCUCGUGUCGUGAGAUGUUGGGUUAAGUCCCGCAACGAGCGCAACCCUCGCCCUUAGUUGCCAUCAUUUAGUUGGGCACUUUAGGGGGACUGCCGGUGAUAACCCGAGAGGAAGGUGGGGAUGACGUCAAGUCCUCAUGGCCCUUACGGGCUGGGCUACACACUGUGNUACAAUGGCGGUGACAAUGGGACGACGAAGGGGUGACCCUUAGCAAAUCUCAAAAANCCGUCUCAGUUCAGAUUGUACUCUGCAACUCGAGUACAUGAAUGGUGGAAUUCGCUAGUAAUCGCAGAUCAGAACGC